This 77-nucleotide transfer RNA is filed under the name Chloroflexota bacterium. Its description in RNAcentral is "Chloroflexi bacterium tRNA-Arg". It matches the Rfam family "tRNA". From Rfam's summary of the family: Transfer RNA (tRNA) molecules are approximately 80 nucleotides in length. The record is from RNAcentral. Lineage: Bacteria; Bacillati; Chloroflexota. RNAcentral also lists the same sequence under 2 other names.
GUCCCCGUAGCUCAGCCCGGAUAGAGCACCGGCCUCCGGAGCCGGGAGCACAGGUUCAAAUCCUGUCGGGGACACCA